AAAAUGACUAAGACGAGGAGCAAGGAAAGAUAUCACCUUUACGGAUCCAAACUUGUCGGAUCGUUGGUUUUCUCGACUUGUCGACGUUAGGUGACGUUUGUUUAGACUUUUGAUCAACCGUUGGUGUUUUCUUCGGUUGAGGCUUGUGCACCUGUUUUGCAUGAACUUGGCGUUGUGCAUUAGAAGACCGGUUCGCUUGUGGCUUAGGUAAGAUCCGAUUCUUUUGAGGCACUUGACUUAAAUUAUUUUGCUUUUGAUUCCGUGGGAAAUGUCGAAUAGUAGAUGACGCCGAUGGAUGUUUUGAAUUUGCCGAUUGUGACUUGCCAUUUUUGUUUGGGCAAUUCCUUUUGAUGUGUCCUUCGAUGCCACAUCGAUGACACACUUUGCCUUUUGAAGUUGUUGAGACUUUAGAUGUCGCCGUUUGAUCCUUCUCAACAUAUGUCCGUUCAUAUCCAAGACCC
Molecule: long non-coding RNA, 461 nt
Filed under: Ananas comosus (pineapple)
Lineage: Eukaryota; Viridiplantae; Streptophyta; Magnoliopsida; Poales; Bromeliaceae
Description: long non-coding RNA (ACOM_LNC041272)
Source: RNAcentral